This 1045-nucleotide ribosomal RNA is filed under the name Lysinibacillus sp. H73. RNAcentral's name for it is "bacterial SSU rRNA". It matches the Rfam family "Bacterial small subunit ribosomal RNA", at positions 1 to 1026 of the family's 1533-position model. Lineage: Bacteria; Bacillati; Bacillota; Bacilli; Caryophanales; Bacillaceae. The record is from RNAcentral.
GGGGCAAUCUGUUACAGGUAGCCUACGUAGUGCGCUAAUACAUGCAGUCGAGCGACGGAGUAGGAGCUUGCUCCUUUGACGUUAGCGGCGGACCGUUGAGUAACACGUGGGCAACCUACCUUAUAGAUUGGGAUACCUCCGGGAAACCGGGGCUAAUACCGAAUAAUCUAUUUUACUUCAUGGUGAAAUACUGAAAGACGGUUUCGGCUGUCGCUAUAAGAUGGGCCCGCGGCGCAUUAGCUAGUUGGUGAGGUAACGGCUCACCAAGGCGACGAUGCGUAGCCGACCUGAGAGGGUGAUCGGCCACACUGGGACUGAGACACGGCCCAGACUCCUACGGGAGGCAGCAGUAGGGAAUCUUCCACAAUGGGCGAAAGCCUGAUGGAGCAACGCCGCGUGAGUGAAGAAGGUUUUCGGAUCGUAAAACUCUGUUGUAAGGGAAGAACAAGUACAAUAUUAACUGGCUGUACCUUGACCGUACCUUAUUAAAAAGCCACGGCUAACUACGUGCCAACAGCCGCGGUAAUACCUAAGUGGCAAGCGUUGUCCGGAAUUAUUGGGCGUAAAGCGCGCGCAGGCGGUCCUUUAAGUCUGAUGUGAAAGCCCACGGCUCAACCGUGGAGGGUCAUUGGAAACUGGGGGACUUGAGUGCAAAAGAAGAAAGUGGAAUUCCCAGUGUAGCGGUGAAAUGCGUAGAGAUUUGGAAGAACACCAGUGGCGAAAGCGACUUUCUGGUCUGUAACUGACGCUGAAGCGCGAAAGCGUGGGGAACAAACAAGAUUAAAUACCCUGGUAGUCCACCCCCUAAACGAUGAGUGCUAAGUGUUAAGGGGUUUCCCCCCCUUAAUGCUGCAGCUAACGCAUUAACCACUUCGCCUGGGGGAAGACGGGCGCAAGAAUGAAAACUCAAGGAAAUGACGGGGGCCCCCCACAACGGGUGGAAACAUGUUGUUUUAAUUUAAAACAAACCGAAAAAAACCCUUACCAGGGCUUUGACACUCCCGUUAAAACACUGGAAAAAAAAUGGGUUUUUCCCCUCCCGGGA